CAACUUUUAACAAUGGAUCUCUUGGUUCUGGCAUCGAUGAAGAACGCAGCGAAAUGCGAUAAGUAGUGUGAAUUGCAGAAUUCAGUGAAUCAUCGAAUCUUUGAACGCACAUUGCGCCCCAUGGUAUUCCGUGGGGCAUGCCUGUUCGAGCGUCAUUU
RNAcentral lists this ribosomal RNA (158 nucleotides) under Pleosporales sp. IZ-1117. RNAcentral's name for it is "5.8S ribosomal RNA". It matches the Rfam family "5.8S ribosomal RNA". Rfam says of the family: 5.8S ribosomal RNA (5.8S rRNA) is a component of the large subunit of the eukaryotic ribosome. It is transcribed by RNA polymerase I as part of the 45S precursor that also contains 18S and 28S rRNA. The record is from RNAcentral. RNAcentral also lists the same sequence under 8 other names. Lineage: Eukaryota; Fungi; Ascomycota; Dothideomycetes; Pleosporales.